This 494-nucleotide ribosomal RNA is filed under the name uncultured bacterium. RNAcentral describes it as "partial 16S ribosomal RNA". It matches the Rfam family "Bacterial small subunit ribosomal RNA", at positions 28 to 507 of the family's 1533-position model. The record is from RNAcentral.
GACGAACGCUGGCGGCGUGCUUAACACAUGCAAGUCGAACGGUGAAGCGCCUUCCUUUUUGGUGGGUGUGGAUGAGUGGCGAACGGGUGAGUAACACGUGAGUAACCUGCCCCCUUCUCCUGGAUAACCGCAUGAAAGUGUUGCUAAUACGGGAUAUUCUGGGUCUGUCGCAUGAUGGGUCUGGGAAGGAUAUUGUUUCGGUGGUGGAUGGGCUCGCGGCCUAUCAGCUUGUUGGUGGGGUGAUGGCCUACCAAGGCGGUGACGGGUAGCCGGCCUGAGAGGGUGGACGGUCACACUGGGACUGAGCCACGGCGCAGACUACUACGGGCGGCAGCAGUGGGGAAUAUUGCACAAUGGGCGCAAGGCUGAUGCAGCGCCGCCGCGUGAGGGAUGGAGGCCUUCGGGUUGUGAACCUCUUUCGCCAGUGAAGCAGGCCUGCCUCGUUUGUGGGUGGGUUGACGGUAGCUGGAUAAGAAGCGCCGGCUAACUACGUG